Molecule: ribosomal RNA, 253 nt
Filed under: uncultured bacterium
Lineage: Bacteria
Description: partial 16S ribosomal RNA
Rfam family: Bacterial small subunit ribosomal RNA
Source: RNAcentral
UACGGGGGGGGCAAGCGUUGUUCGGAAUUACUGGGCGUAAAGGGCGCGUAGGCGGUUGGAUAAGUCAGCUGUGAAAACCACGGGCUUAACUCGUGGCCUGCAGUUGAGACUGUCUGGCUUGAGUGUGGGAGAGGAGAGUGGAAUUCCUGGUGUAGCGGUGAAAUGCGUAGAUAUCAGGAGGAACACCGGUGGCGAAGGCGGCUCUCUGGACCACAACUGACGCUGAGGCGCGAAAGCUAGGGGAGCAAACGGG